AUUGAACGCUGGCGGCAUGCUUUACACAUGCAAGUCGAACGGUAACAGGCCGCAAGGUGCUGACGAGUGGCGAACGGGUGAGUAAUGCAUCGGAACGUGCCAGUCGUGGGGGAUAACUACUCGAAAGAGUAGCUAAUACCGCAUACGAUCUAUGGAUGAAAGCGGGGGACCGUAAGGCCUCGCGCGAUUGGAGCGGCCGAUGUCAGAUUAGGUAGUUGGUGGGGUAAAGGCUCACCAAGCCAACGAUCUGUAGCUGGUCUGAGAGGACGACCAGCCACACUGGGACUGAGACACGGCCCAGACUCCUACGGGAGGCAGCAGUGGGGAAUUUUGGACAAUGGGCGCAAGCCUGAUCCAGCAAUGCCGCGUGCAGGAAGAAGGCCUUCGGGUUGUAAACUGCUUUUGUACGGAACGAAACGGCUCUGGUUAAUACCCGGGGCUAAUGACGGUACCGUAAGAAUAAGCACCGGCUAACUACGUG
Molecule: ribosomal RNA, 481 nt
Filed under: uncultured bacterium
Lineage: Bacteria
Description: partial 16S ribosomal RNA
Rfam family: Bacterial small subunit ribosomal RNA
Source: RNAcentral